UUUGGGGAAUUUUCCGCAAUGGGCGCAAGCCUGACGGAGCAAGACCGCGUGCGGGAGGACGGCCUAUUGGUUGUAAACCGCUUUUGAUAGGGAAGAAGUUCUGACGGUACCUAUCGAAUCAGCAUCGGCUAACUCCGUGCCAGCAGCCGCGGUAAUACGGAGGAUGCAAGCGUUAUCCGGAAUUAUUGGGCGUAAAGCGUCCGUAGGUGGUUGUUCAAGUCUGCUGUUAAAGCGUGCGGCUUAACCGCAUACCAGCAGUGGAAACUGGGCGACUAGAGUGCGGUAGGGGUCAGGGGAAUUCCCAGUGUAGCGGUGAAAUGCGUAGAUAUUGGGAAGAACACCGGUGGCGAAAGCGCCUGACUG
This 363-nucleotide ribosomal RNA is filed under the name uncultured cyanobacterium. RNAcentral's name for it is "bacterial SSU rRNA". It matches the Rfam family "Bacterial small subunit ribosomal RNA", at positions 353 to 731 of the family's 1533-position model. Lineage: Bacteria; Bacillati; Cyanobacteriota. The record is from RNAcentral.